CGGUGAAUAGCGCAGUUUGGUAGCGCAUCUGGUUUGGGACCAGAGGGUCGGGGGCCGGAAGCCGGUCCAAUCGAAUCCUUCUUCACCGACCA
Molecule: transfer RNA, 92 nt
Filed under: Salinivibrio siamensis
Lineage: Bacteria; Pseudomonadati; Pseudomonadota; Gammaproteobacteria; Vibrionales; Vibrionaceae
Also listed under: 6 other names
Rfam family: tRNA
About the family: Transfer RNA (tRNA) molecules are approximately 80 nucleotides in length.
Source: RNAcentral